Molecule: long non-coding RNA, 2067 nt
Organism: Bombus huntii
Lineage: Eukaryota; Metazoa; Arthropoda; Insecta; Hymenoptera; Apidae
Exons: 2
Source: RefSeq, a predicted model, not a curated record
CAGGGACAGCAGUAAUGAGCCAUAUAAACUGGGGUCGCUGUAAUGGUCAAUGUUCCAUGGUAUGUCAGAAAGAAAGAUAUACGCAAAGACCUAGAAAUACCAACAAAUAAAGACAGCAAAUUCCUAAGAGGAAUUGAUUGGACUAAUUUAAUAGGGAUAAAGAAACUAUACGUGAUCGUAAGCAUUCAGGCCGCUCAUCAUUACACAGGAGCUCAAGAACGUAUCUGCGAUUUCAUCCCAGUUUUUUGCAAAACUUAUUAGUCAAUAAUGCUUCACAAGACAAGAUGAUUUAAAGGAUUGCGUAUGUCGAUGAUUAUGGGAACUAGCGGCGGAAGCAUCUGAUGAAGAUAUACAAAAACUCGUAUAAUGUUACGAUAAAUGUACAGUGGUAUAUAUACUAAAGUUACGAAUCAAAAAAUCUUUUUAAAAUGCAUUUUUUUGCUGUUAUUUCAAAGGAGGUAUUACUUUUUGGUACUCGUACAUAAUACCAUUUGCAAAAGUCAAGGUAACCUUGACGUUUUAUUGAAACAGCAAUUCUUUUCGUAAAGUUAUUGGAAAUGCCAUAAAAAUGAUGGAUACUCUAAGACUAUACAUUAUACACCCUGUAUAAAAAUUGAUGAUUUUUCACUAUGUCGUAAAGCUUUUUAGAGUUUGAACAACUUUUUGCUAUACAUAUAAUUAUAGACUCAACUUCAGACACUUCCGAGACAUUUGUAAAAAGCUGCAGGUACCACUGUAGUGUAUUUCUGCUUAUAAUUGUGCGUCUAUUUGACCGCAUACGUCAGUUUGGUUGCCGCUUAUCUUCUGUUUGUAACUGUGAGUCGGACGAAUAUAAAGGAUCCGUGCACAAUGUAUACAUCCAAGGAUGCAACAAAUGUCUAUUAUAUUUAUUUAUUAUUUAUUAUUACUUAGUCCGUGACUUUCGGCUCUGGACGAACUUUCAGUUUUACAUCUCGUAUCUAUUUCGCUUCUCAUAUAUCUACCUCCCCUCUUAUCCACUCUAUUAUAUUGCACUCUCUUAAUUAUUUUGUCUCUAAAACUAUGGCAACUUUUGGGCUUUUGCCUCCUUGCUGUGCUUCCGUAUUGUCGUUCCUCCUCGUCUUGUAUUGCUCUUCUCUUCUCCAUUAUUGUUUUUAUUUCUGUUAGUCCUUCUCCAGUCUCGUUUAGUAUUUUUUCUGUGUCUUUUGGUCCUCCCGUUAUUUCGCAUUCUUCUAUUACAUGUCUCAGGUCUUCUUCUUUCCUUUUACAUAGCCUGAAUCUUUUUUCUCCUUCUUCUUUCCAGUAUCCCCUUGCUUUGGUCUCGUUUCUACAUCUAAAUCUUGCUAAUAUUUUUCUGUCCUUCCACUUCAUCCUCCCUUUAAAUAUUUUGGUAACUCUUCUUUGGCAAUUUUUCUAUAAUGUAUGUUAUAUUUGAAUUCCCUUAUCCUUUUCCCCCUCUCUUCUGCUUCUCUCUUUCUUUUUUCUUCUAUAAUUUGGUCUACUGUCAUCUUUUCUUGCUAUUUUUUUGCUUUCAUCUGAGUUCCUCCAUUUCUUACCUCUUCUAGUCUCCUCUUGUUCUUUCUUUUUUUCGAAAACUACUAUCUUGGUCUUUUCGCUGUUGAGUUCUAAUUCGGUUUCCUUUAAAAAUUUUUUGAAUCACUCUCACAAAAUCGAAUAUAAUACCGCGUUUCGCGUAUUCGUUUCUCACUAAUUCUACGACACAACAACAUGGCCACGAUAAAUUCAACUCUGACAGCAUUUUCCACGCUCAUUUUUCCCUUAACAUACCUUGGUAACGCUCACAACACUCUUUGACAAGAUUAACAUAUUUUGACAACGUUUAUAAACAAUUACCCCUCACGCCACGUCCUUCCCUAACGUCACACCAUCUCACAUAUCCUUUAGCUGCUCUUCUCUAUCCGUCAUCAGCACAAUAUCGUCUGCAUAUGUCAAUUGACCAUACCUUUCUUUCUCCUACCACUAUGCCCCCAACUUGUCAUUUCCUUAAUUCUUCUCAAAUGUCUAUUAUAAUUCACUUAAAGAUGAAAAUCAUCAAUGUGUUGGGUUUGGGGUAGAUCUUUAAAUCUA